This 273-nucleotide long non-coding RNA is filed under the name Mytilus galloprovincialis (Mediterranean mussel). Lineage: Eukaryota; Metazoa; Mollusca; Bivalvia; Mytilida; Mytilidae. The record is from RNAcentral.
GAAUAAUGUAAUUAAGGAUCUUAUUAAUAAUAAAAUUAAGGAUCUUAUGAAUAAUGUAAUUAAGAAUCUUAUGAAUAAUGUAAUUAAGGAUCUUCUGCAUAAUGUAAUUAAGGAUCUUCUGAAUAAUGUAAUUAAGGAUCUUCUGAAUAAUGUUUAUCUGUUUAGUUCCAUCUGAGUGAACAGCAUGGUCUUCAGAAGUAGUUCUUGGUUCUGGUGGGUUAAUAAAAAAAAUUCUGUACUGAAUAAACGAGACAAAUGUUUCAAACAUCAACG